RNAcentral lists this ribosomal RNA (741 nucleotides) under Triticum aestivum (bread wheat). RNAcentral describes it as "partial small subunit ribosomal RNA". Lineage: Eukaryota; Viridiplantae; Streptophyta; Magnoliopsida; Poales; Poaceae. The record is from RNAcentral.
AUGGAAGAGGAGGUUUAUAGUGUUAUUAAGGAGUUGCCUCCGGAUCGAGCACCCAGACCGGAUGGGUACAUUGCCGCUUUCUACCAAAAAGCGUGGCCCAUAAUAAAGAAUGAUGUCACGAGCGUUAUGACCAAGCUCUACAUGGGUGAUGGAAGGGCCUUUGUGAAGCUCAACAAGGCGCACAUUGUGCUUAUACCUAAGAAACCGGACGCUGAGGAAAUAGGAGACUAUUGGCCUAUUAGUCUUACUCAUAGCAUACCAAAGUUGUUUGCUAAGGCCCUUGCGUAUAGAAUGAGGAAGCAGAUGCAUGACAUUGUUGAUACAAACCAAUCGACAUUUAUCAAAGGAAGAUACUUACAUGACAAUUUCCUCCUUGUGAGGCAAGUGGCUAGGAAAUUACAUGCUAGGAGAGCGUCGGCUGUGUUCCUAAAGUUGGAUAUUUCAAGAGCUUUUGAUUCCUUGUCUUGACCCUCCCUAUUUGAGGUCAUGGAGGCUAAAGGGUUCGGCCCUCGAUGGAUGCGGUGGGUGACAUUGCUACUCCAAACGGCCAGCACAAAGAUCAUUGUUAAUGGAGUUCCACGAAAGAGUUUUGGACAUGCUUGUGGGCUUCGAAAAGGGGACCCAAUCUCCCCGCCGCUGUCGGAUUUCGGGUUCCGACAGACCCUUGAGGUUCGAACAUUGGGGUGCGCACGAAGAUCUCUCCCCUACCAGCUCACGUCUCUAAGUCUCGCAAAGAUCUAA